UCUCGUUGUCGCGAUGGACAGCCUCACGGUCUGGAAUUCGCUGAUUCUGAAUGGUGAUGAAAGAAUAGGUACUUCAUUUUCUUAUUCAGUUUGUAGAAUUAAAGAGAGGAUUUGCGUAGGGCUGAGACAUUUUGCCGAAAUGCAGCAGUAGGAAUCUCUCAAGCUUGGGAUAUCUAUUCUCGCCAUGUUUUGUAGAAUUCCCAAGCUUGCAUCUUCGAGCAUCUUUCUCUAAUUUCCUUUUUCUCUUCUACUGAAGGAAUAAAAACAAGGACGCUGAGUGCUUGUUAAGUUUUGGCACAGCUUCAGACAAAGGCUUUGUAGCCAGUCGAGAAUUUUCCAAGCCAUUGGCGGCCUUCUCUAAAGUACUGCACCAGGUCUCUGUGUUUGCUUUCAAGGCUAGAGCUUUAUUUUUUCUUUUCAUUUACCUUCAUCGUUACAGAAGUUCAAGAGGUUGUUGUGAAGCUCUUACAUUUCUUUGUGACAAGGCUCACUAUGGAGGACAAAACUUCGGAAUCAGCGCAAGAACUAUCCUUUGUCGAGGCAUCUGUCGCUGCAGCAAAAUCCUGGGAUGUUUAAAGUGAUGGAAGUGUUGAAAAUACUUUUGAUCUGGGAGGCCAGUCGGAAGUGUAGAGAAGGGAAGGUGUUAAGUAAAAGUUACAAGACGGGCUCUUACAUUCGCGUUUAUGGAUUUGGGACAGGACAAAGGUGGCAAGCAAAGACGAAAAGCCCAACAGGACUUCCCUCCAGUGCCGAAGAAGCCCAAAGCCGAGGCGCUUUGGAUCGUGCACUGUUGAUUAGGCAAAAUAGGAAUAUUACUGGAUAACCAGUCCCGUCUCCCUGAAUUUGAAAUCUUCUAACUUUAUUGUAUGCAAGUGAGCAUGAAA
This is a long non-coding RNA of Selaginella moellendorffii, 884 nucleotides long. RefSeq lists it as uncharacterized. Lineage: Eukaryota; Viridiplantae; Streptophyta; Lycopodiopsida; Selaginellales; Selaginellaceae. The record is from RefSeq and is a predicted model, not a curated record. The transcript has 2 exons.